UGGAGCGGUUUGGUUUUUUGUUUUUACAUUGUUUUUAUUAAGAUUUGCUUCUCUGGUUGAUAGCUUUUAGGGGUGCCCUCCUCUCCAACACUAGGACCUCUGGGAUUUUGAAGAUCACAGUCUUCCUUAUGUCGUCCCUCCCCACCCCCACCCCCUCCGCCCGCGGCUAGCAGAUUUUUCCAGAUCCUUCUCCAUCCUCAGGACUCCCAAGUCUGGGCCUGUCUGGUGGCCCGCCCUGUUCACCCAGGCCCACAGUGUAAUAGCUGGAGACAGGCAGCCAGAUGUGAAGUGGCAAAGGUCGGCCUCCCCUGACUGUGCGGCCGAUGCCUAUGGUCCCAGGCGUGGGCACUUGAGUAGUGUGGGAAGAGAGGUCCAGGGAGUGAAAGUGUGGGCCCAGGAGGGAACAGUUUAGCCCAGGUGCACAAAUUGGACACAACUUUGCCCUCUCUGCAGCCUGGCAGGCCCACCGCAUGAGUUGCUUUCUAAAAUACCAUGAGCAGAUAUGUAAGAGACAAAGACUUGUAAGUGGGGUGAAGGAACCUUUUCUUCUCAACCUGAUGCUCCUAAGAGAUGCUUGUGGAGUUCCGAGUCCGUGUGGCUAAAACCAUGAAGUUCUGAUUACUGAAACAGUGAUGGCUUGGUCUGCUGACUUGAUGGAAGAUCUGUCUGGAGAGGUCCUGACUGCCCAGCCGGAUAGUACCACAGUUAUACAUAGAGCCUGGGUCUCUCCACAGACCUGAGUGGAGGAGAACCCCCCAUGGGAGUUUUGUUGUUUGAUGAUCCACUUCACAAUCUUGGAUGCUGUAGUCAGGUCCGAUGAAGAAAGGUCUCGCGUAGGCCGGGAAGAUGCA
Molecule: long non-coding RNA, 851 nt
Organism: Rattus rattus (black rat)
Lineage: Eukaryota; Metazoa; Chordata; Mammalia; Rodentia; Muridae
Exons: 3
Source: RefSeq, a predicted model, not a curated record